This 592-nucleotide ribosomal RNA is filed under the name Meyerozyma smithsonii. RNAcentral's name for it is "eukaryotic LSU rRNA". It matches the Rfam family "Eukaryotic large subunit ribosomal RNA", at positions 40 to 648 of the family's 3401-position model. Lineage: Eukaryota; Fungi; Ascomycota; Pichiomycetes; Serinales; Debaryomycetaceae. The record is from RNAcentral.
AUAUCAAUAAGCGGAGGAAAAGAAACCAACAGGGAUUGCCUUAGUAGCGGCGAGUGAAGCGGCAAAAGCUCAAAUUUGAAAUCUGGCACCUUCGGUGUCCGAGUUGUAAUUUGAAGAUUGUAACCUUGGGGUUGGCUCUUGUCUAUGUUUCUUGGAACAGGACGUCACAGAGGGUGAGAAUCCCGUGCGAUGAGAUGCCCAAUCCUAUGUAAGGUGCUUUCGAAGAGUCGAGUUGUUUGGGAAUGCAGCUCUAAGUGGGUGGUAAAUUCCAUCUAAAGCUAAAUAUUGGCGAGAGACCGAUAGCGAACAAGUACAGUGAUGGAAAGAUGAAAAGAACUUUGAAAAGAGAGUGAAAAAGUACGUGAAAUUGUUGAAAGGGAAGGGUUUGAGAUCAGACUCGAUAUUUUGCGAUCCUUACCUUCGUGGUGGGGUGACCCGCAGCUUAUCGGGCCAGCAUCGGUUUGGGCGGUAGGAUAAUGGCGUAGGAAUGUGACUUUACUACGGUGAAGUGUUAUAGCCUGCGUUGAUGCUGCCUGCCUAGACCGAGGACUGCGAUUUUAUCAAGGAUGCUGGCAUAAUGAUCCCAAACCGC